Long non-coding RNA from Vanessa tameamea, 275 nucleotides. RefSeq lists it as uncharacterized. The transcript is spliced from 7 exons. NCBI's taxonomy places the organism in Eukaryota, Metazoa, Arthropoda, Insecta, Lepidoptera, Nymphalidae. The record is from RefSeq and is a predicted model, not a curated record.
AGACACCCUACUACUACGGUGACAAGACCUAUUAUGGCGACAAGACACCCUACUACUACGACAAGACUCCCUACUACGGUGACAAGACUUACUAUGGCGACAAGACCGAUUUGACAUACAAGCAGGGACACAGAAACAGUGGACCCUUGAGACAGCAAGACGACGAAGCUGAUUACAAACGUUAAAUGAUCACCGCACUUCGACUACCGUUCUUCAGACCGUAUGACCAUGUGAUGUCAAAUAUUCUUGCUAAUAAAUAGCAGUAUUUCAAAAUA